AUAUUCGUGCCUCUGUCUCAUACAUGCCUCUCUGUGUAUACACAACCACAAAACCUCUCUCUCACACAGAUCAAUCACCAACAAACCUCACGACUGCGCAUCCUCAGCACCGUCGGUCCCCGUACGCCGCAAAUCAACACCACCACCGCCGCUAACAGGCAAGUAUUUAUCGGGAGGAGAACAACGUUAUAGACUUGUAUAUCAUACUUCUUAGAUUUUCAAGGAAACGUUGUCUAGGCACUCUUUUUUGGGCCCAAAU
Non-coding RNA from Camellia sinensis, 259 nucleotides. The record is from RefSeq and is a predicted model, not a curated record. NCBI's taxonomy places the organism in Eukaryota, Viridiplantae, Streptophyta, Magnoliopsida, Ericales, Theaceae.